CGAACGGUGAACACGGAGCUUGCUCUGUGGGAUCAGUGGCGAACGGGUGAGUAACACGUGAGCAACCUGCCCCUGACUCUGGGAUAAGCGCUGGAAACGGCGUCUAAUACUGGAUAUGUGACGUGACCGCAUGGUCUGCGUCUGGAAAGAAUUUCGGUUGGGGAUGGGCUCGCGGCCUAUCAGCUUGUUGGUGAGGUAAUGGCUCACCAAGGCGUCGACGGGUAGCCGGCCUGAGAGGGUGACCGGCCACACUGGGACUGAGACACGGCCCAGACUCCUACGGGAGGCAGCAGUGGGGAAUAUUGCACAAUGGGCGCAAGCCUGAUGCAGCAACGCCGCGUGAGGGACGACGGCCUUCGGGUUGUAAACCUCUUUUAGCAGGGAAGAAGCGAAAGUGACGGUACCUGCAGAAAAAGCGCCGGCUAACUACGUGCCAGCAGCCGCGGUAAUACGUAGGGCGCAAGCGUUAUCCGGAAUUAUUGGGCGUAAAGAGCUCGUAGGCGGUUUGUCGCGUCUGCUGUGAAAUCCGGAGGCUCAACCUCCGGCCUGCAGUGGGUACGGGCAGACUAGAGUGCGGUAGGGGAGAUUGGAAUUCCUGGUGUAGCGGUGGAAUGCGCAGAUAUCAGGAGGAACACCGAUGGCGAAGGCAGAUCUCUGGGCCGUAACUGACGCUGAGGAGCGAAAGGGUGGGGAGCAAACAGGCUUAGAUACCCUGGUAGUCCACCCCGUAAACGUUGGGAACUAGUUGUGGGGUCCAUUCCACGGAUUCCGUGACGCAGCUAACGCAUUAAGUUCCCCGCCUGGGGAGUACGGCCGCAAGGCUAAAACUCAAAGGAAUUGACGGGGACCCGCACAAGCGGCGGAGCAUGCGGAUU
Molecule: ribosomal RNA, 875 nt
Filed under: Microbacterium sp. B2780_4
Lineage: Bacteria; Bacillati; Actinomycetota; Actinomycetes; Micrococcales; Microbacteriaceae
Description: bacterial SSU rRNA
Rfam family: Bacterial small subunit ribosomal RNA
Source: RNAcentral